CCUUACCUACCCUUGACAUGUCUGGAAUGCCGAAGAGAUUUGGCAGUGCUCGCAAGAGAACCGGAACACAGGUGCUGCAUGGCUGUCGUCAGCUCGUGUCGUGAGAUGUUGGGUUAAGUCCCGCAACGAGCGCAACCCUUGUCAUUAGUUGCUACGAAAGGGCACUCUAAUGAGACUGCCGGUGACAAACCGGAGGAAGGUGGGGAUGACGUCAAGUCCUCAUGGCCCUUAUGGGUAGGGCUUCACACGUCAUACAAUGGUCGGGACAGAGGGCUGCCAACCCGCAAGGGGGAGCCAAUCCCAGAAACCCGAUCGUAGUCCGGAUCGCAGUCUGCAACUCGACUGCGUGAAGUCGGAAUCGCUAGUAAUCGCGGAUCAGCAUGUCGCGGUGAAUACGUUCCCGGGUCUUGUACACACCGCCCGUCACACCAUGGGAGUGGGUUUUACCAGAAGUAGUUAGCCUAACCGCAAGGGGGGCGAUUACCACGGUAGGAUUCAUGACCGGGGUGAAGUCGUAACAAGGUAAGCGUAGCGAG
RNAcentral lists this ribosomal RNA (536 nucleotides) under uncultured bacterium. RNAcentral describes it as "bacterial SSU rRNA". It matches the Rfam family "Bacterial small subunit ribosomal RNA", at positions 969 to 1509 of the family's 1533-position model. The record is from RNAcentral.